AUGAGCUUUAAUAUGUGCAAUUGACCGGCAACCAACGUGCAUUCUGCAGGUUUUUGGUAGUCCCCGAAGUAAUCCUUCAUCCGUGUGAAAGUGGAAUGCUAAAAGAACAAGUUGACAACAGCACCAGAAAAUAAGGUGAAAAUAUGUCACCAUUUAGUGAGUACAACCUGAUAACAGACCAACAUAACAGACCACGUGAGAGGAGAAAAAGCAGUCUUCAGCUGUGAGCUGUGUACGUACACCUCACUCAAGAGAUCGAGUCGGAACUGUCACAGGAAAAUCCAUUCUGAAGAAAAAUGUCACGUGUCUCAAGGCUUUUCAAACAGCUGCUCUCCUGCAGAACCACGUGAAUGUCCAUACAGGUAUCUGCUGCGUGUAGAUAUUCCAUGUUACCUAUUGCCUGCAGUACUUAACCAGCAGGCAAGUGACAGACUUAGAGGUGUGUUCUGUGAUCAUUCUGCC
RNAcentral lists this long non-coding RNA (462 nucleotides) under Gallus gallus (chicken). RNAcentral describes it as "long non-coding RNA NONGGAT004788". Lineage: Eukaryota; Metazoa; Chordata; Aves; Galliformes; Phasianidae. The record is from RNAcentral.